Molecule: ribosomal RNA, 460 nt
Filed under: uncultured bacterium
Lineage: Bacteria
Description: partial 16S ribosomal RNA
Rfam family: Bacterial small subunit ribosomal RNA
Source: RNAcentral
CCUACGGGCGGCAGCAGUGAGGAAUAUUGGUCAAUGGACGAGAGUCUGAACCAGCCAAGUAGCGUGAAGGAUGACUGCCCUAUGGGUUGUAAACUUCUUUUAUAUGGGAAUAAAACGUUCCACGUGUGGGAUUUUGUAUGUACCAUAUGAAUAAGGAUCGGCUAACUCCGUGCCAGCAGCCGCGGUAAUACGGAGGAUCCGAGCGUUAUCCGGAUUUAUUGGGUUUAAAGGGCGCGUAGGUGGAUUGUUAAGUCAGUUGUGAAAGUUUGCGGCUCAACAGUAAAAUUGCAGUUGAAACUGGCAGUCUUGAGUACAGUAGAGGUGGGCGGAAUUCGUGGUGUAGCGGUGAAAUGCUUAGAUAUCACGAAGAACUCCGAUUGCGAAGGCAGUUCACUGGACUGCAACUGACACUGAGGCUCGAAAGUGUGGGUAUCAAACAGGAUUAGAUACCCUGGUAGUC